UACGGAGGGUGCAAGCAUUAAUCGGAAUGAUUGGGCGUAAAGGGCGCGUAGGCAGGUAGUAAAGUUAGAUGUGAAAUUCUGAAGCUCAACUUCAGAGCUGCAUUUAAGACUCACUAUCUCGAGGGUUGGCGGAGAAAACGGAAUUCCACGUGUAGCGGUGAAAUGCGUAGAUAUGUGGAAGAACACCUGUGGCGAAAGCGGUUUUCUAGCUAAUACCUGACGCUGAGGCGCGAGAGCAAGGGGAGCAAACAGG
Molecule: ribosomal RNA, 253 nt
Filed under: uncultured prokaryote
Description: partial 16S ribosomal RNA
Rfam family: Bacterial small subunit ribosomal RNA
Source: RNAcentral